UGAGGAAUAUUGGGCAAUGGACGCAAGUCUGACCCAGCCAUGCCGCGUGCAGGAAGACGGCCCUACGGGUUGUAAACUGCUUUUUUGAUAGAGUAAAAUUGACUACGUGUAGUCAACUGCAAGUAUAUUAAGAAUAAGCAUCGGCUAACUCCGUGCCAGCAGCCGCGGUAAUACGGAGGAUGCAAGCGUUAUCCGGAUUUAUUAGGUUUAAAGGGUGCGUAGGCGGUACAGUAAGUCAGGGGUGAAAACCAGUUGCUCAACAACUGGCUUGCCUUUGAUACUGCUGAACUUGAGUGCAGACGAAGUACGCGGAAUGUGUAAUGUAGCGGUGAAAUGCAUAGAUAUUACACAGAACACCGAUAGCGAAGGCAGCGUACUAGGGUGUAACUGACGCUGAGGCACGAAAGCGUGGGGAUCAAACA
This 422-nucleotide ribosomal RNA is filed under the name uncultured prokaryote. Its description in RNAcentral is "bacterial SSU rRNA". It matches the Rfam family "Bacterial small subunit ribosomal RNA", at positions 355 to 774 of the family's 1533-position model. The record is from RNAcentral.